This 86-nucleotide transfer RNA is filed under the name Myxococcales bacterium. Its description in RNAcentral is "tRNA-Leu". It matches the Rfam family "tRNA". Rfam says of the family: Transfer RNA (tRNA) molecules are approximately 80 nucleotides in length. Their secondary structure includes four short double-helical elements and three loops (D, anti-codon, and T loops). The record is from RNAcentral. RNAcentral also lists the same sequence under 2 other names. Lineage: Bacteria; Pseudomonadati; Myxococcota; Myxococcia; Myxococcales.
GCCGGGGUGGCGGAAUUGGUAGACGCAGUGGCUUUAGGAGCCACCGUCCUUAGGACGUGCAGGUUCGAGUCCUGUCCCCGGUACCA